UAUCCUGCCAACUAAUCUGCUCGUUUGAAUGUAUUUCUGUAGAAAUUUAGAAAAAGCUAGCAAUAAUGAUACCAUGUUAUGAGCCUCAAGGACAACUGAGGUCAUUAAAGUCCCUGAAAAUGGCUCUCAUC
Jaculus jaculus (lesser Egyptian jerboa) is the source of this 131-nucleotide small nucleolar RNA. Lineage: Eukaryota; Metazoa; Chordata; Mammalia; Rodentia; Dipodidae. The record is from Ensembl.